GCAAACUCUAACGUCUCUUUCAUCUCUAGAGUAGAUUCAGAACAUCCACUGGAGGGUAAACAUCUUCUCUAGUUUCCUGUCACCAGAUACUUAGGUGGCACAGAUGUCUGCAAGGCCAUUCUUGUGUCCUUGAGCCCCUCUGGCCCAACACUGGCUGAAGCCCAUCUUCCAGGCCCUGAACAAUUAAAGGCCAUAAGCUCAGAGUUGGUUUUGAUCAGUUUCUACCCAUGCAGGUUCAGGCAAGCGAAGGCAUGCCUGAGGCAGCAGUCGCUGUGGCUGCUCCCAGAUCUCAUCGAUCUCGUCGCCAGACCCUCAUCUGCUUUUGUCCCGAAGCCUGAGACUAGGCCUCCUAUCUCGGAAGCUCCUCUGACUCCUUCACACCAUCAUCUGCUUACUAAUCUUCAUAGACAGCUUGAUUUCUCAUCUGCUUAAGCAACUAGUUUUUUCUCUUCUCUUUACACUUAGUUCCUAAACUCCCACCCUUGUAAAAAGCAAUUUUAUGUUUAAAAUGUCUUAUCUCAUUAUAUUAUAAUAAAUUAAAUUAAUAAAAUCGGAUUUUAAAAUA
Molecule: long non-coding RNA, 565 nt
Filed under: Mus spretus (western wild mouse)
Lineage: Eukaryota; Metazoa; Chordata; Mammalia; Rodentia; Muridae
Description: lncRNA (ENSMSPG00010045712.1)
Source: RNAcentral